UUUUAGUUAAUUAAGCUAAUUUUAAACAUAGCUAGUCAUAAAGGCCCAAGUUUCUAGCCCAUACCUUAAGCUCAAUAUCCAAUACCCAUUAAGCUAACCCUAGGGACCCUUCUAGACUCUUCUUUGGAAUAAAAAAUAAAUAAAAAGACCCUAAAGACUUAACACAAAAAGACCUAGGGACUAAUUGGCAAACUACACAAAAAAUAACCUAAACCUAGCCCUAUACACUAAAGAUUUAGAGAGUAGCGUCAUUUUCAUGGGAGGAGAUGGACAGCUCUAAAAAAGGGAACGACGGCCUUCAUCAAAAUAGGGGCAGCACCCCAAUUUCCCAUUUCCAAAAGAAAAAUCCCUUUACGUAUACUAAAAAGUAGCUACACCCUUAGGGAUCGAUGAUCUCUUUUUCCAUUCUGUGAAGGAAAUUCAAUUCGGAAAUACCUUGGACAUUCCUCUAACAUUGUCACACUACUUUGGGUACUGAAGAGUGCAAAGGAAAAGUGCCUGCAAAGGUUUGUUCAUAUGUCUACUGAUUUGGCUAGGCAAAUUGGAAUAUGACUUGAUGCAUUCAAAAUACAAUUUAUAGCAAAAUAGCUAGGGAAAAGAGAAGGCGUGAUGGAGUUUGAGUGAGGUCGCUUUGGUUUCGAGUUUUCGGGUGUCGAUUCGAGAUUCCAUCCGGGUUCGCGUUUGAGUUUUCUGUCGAUUUGAGUUCCGAUUGUAACUGUGUUCUGUUUUGGUCCGUGUAAUUGUUAGACGACUUCAUCAAUUGAAAAUUCCAAUUUUCAGGUAUUUUCCCAACCAUUGUCAACGAGUGUUUAGGAACAUGUACUUCGAGUUGAAGCCUGAUUGAAUACAAGUCAUUCUGAGUUUCAUUUCAUCUGUUUUUCCUAUGUCUCUGAUGUUCUGUAAUAGACCUAGUAUUAUAUAUGCUAGUUUAGUUGUCUUAUGUCGUUUAGUAUGCUGUAGGAAUGAAUCUGUGCUCCUUAAGAAUUUGGGGUGUUGAUUUUUCUGGAUUCAAGUCAAUGAUGUUAAUUUCCUAGAUGUUGUUACUGUUGAUAAUGAGAAAGAGUUGAGUGAGUUAAGUUCAA
This is a non-coding RNA of Nicotiana tabacum (common tobacco), 1082 nucleotides long. NCBI's taxonomy places the organism in Eukaryota, Viridiplantae, Streptophyta, Magnoliopsida, Solanales, Solanaceae. The record is from RefSeq and is a predicted model, not a curated record.